Molecule: ribosomal RNA, 468 nt
Filed under: uncultured bacterium
Lineage: Bacteria
Description: partial 16S ribosomal RNA
Rfam family: Bacterial small subunit ribosomal RNA
Source: RNAcentral
GACGAACGCUGGCGGCGUGCUUAACACAUGCAAGUCGAACGGAAAGGCCCUGCUUUUGUGGGGUGCUCGAGUGGCGAACGGGUGAGUAACACGUGAGUAACCUGCCCUUGACUUUGGGAUAACUUCAGGAAACUGGGGCUAAUACCGGAUAGGAGCUCCUGCUGCAUGGUGGGGGUUGGAAAGUUUCGGCGGUUGGGGAUGGACUCGCGGCUUAUCAUCUUGUUGGUGGGGUAGUGGCUUACCAAGGCUUUGACCGGUAGCCGGCCUGGGAGGGUGACCGGCCACAUUGGUACUGCGAUACGGCCCAGACUCCUACGGUAGGCAGCAGUGGGGAAUAUUGCACAAUGGGGGGAAGCCUGAUGCAGCAACGCCGCGGGCGGGAUGACGGCCUUCGGGUUGUAAACCGCUUUCGCCUGUGACGAAGCGUGAGUGACGGUAAUGGGUAAAGAAGCACCGGCUAACUACGUG